Molecule: non-coding RNA, 374 nt
Organism: Carica papaya (papaya)
Lineage: Eukaryota; Viridiplantae; Streptophyta; Magnoliopsida; Brassicales; Caricaceae
Source: RefSeq, a predicted model, not a curated record
GGAUGUUGGGGUUAAUGGGAUGCGAAUUGGAGACAAACGAAGACUUACAAUUCCACCGUCAAUGGGCUACGGGGCACGUGGUGCUGGUGGGAAGAUUCCUCCAAACUCAUGGCUUCUGUUUGAUGUGGAAUUGGUUGAUGUUCGCUAAUUAGCCUACCUAUGUUACACAAGGUUCACCGGUCAUGAGAUUUGGUUCGCGGUCAAUUUUGUUUUCGCUAAACUAAAUCAUGGCACUAUCUGGCUUCUUUUAGCAUGUUGGUUGUAUUAGCAUUUAUACCUGUGUAGAAGGAAUUGAUAAUACUUGAGACAGUAAUUUUAUAAUGUUAUACUUUCAAGAGAAUGAAUAUACGCCACUCGAUCACUUUUUAUUUCGA